RNAcentral lists this long non-coding RNA (472 nucleotides) under Androctonus crassicauda. Lineage: Eukaryota; Metazoa; Arthropoda; Arachnida; Scorpiones; Buthidae. The record is from RNAcentral.
GUAAAUUUUUAUUAAAAAAUAUAUAUAUGUAUUUGAACAGUUAAGUGCACUUAAAUUGCAUACAAUAACACCAUGUUUCUUGGAGUAAUGCAUAAGUAUACAUGUUUGCUCUUGCUUGAAGGUGUAGGCGUGUAAAGUUAGACUGGGAUAAUUCUCUUUCAUUAAAUGCACUGUAUUGCUAAAAAUUUAGGAGAUAAGAAGAGAAAUGUGCGCUUCUAAAGGGAGUUUUUCCAUCCAGCGAAAUGGUCGAUUGUAUCACGCAAAACGCGAAAGAACGGCGCGAAUUUUAGAUAUGUUUUUUGAAAUUUCUUCCAGAGAGAGAUAUCACAUUCAGCAGCUUUUUAUCUCUUGGCUCUCUUUUAUAACUUGCCAAGCGAUGCUAACAAGUCUCACUGUUGACUAUGGCAGCCACUCUUCUUUUGCACAAUUUUCGUCAAUUUUAUAAAAAAAAAAAAAAAAUUUAUACUUCGAG